CCUACGGGAGGCAGCAGUGGGGAAUAUUGCGCAAUGGGCGAAAGCCUGACGCAGCGACGCCGCGUGAGGGAUGAAGAUCUUCGGAUCGUAAACCUCUGUCAGCAGGGAAGAACGGUCACUGUGCUAAUCAGCAGUGAAUUGACGGUACCUGCAAAGGAAGCACCGGCUAACUCCGUGCCAGCAGCCGCGGUAAUACGGAGGGUGCGAGCGUUAAUCGGAAUUACUGGGCGUAAAGCGCUCGUAGGCGGUAUGUCAAGUCAAGGGUGAAAUCCCCGCGCUCAACGUGGGAACUGCCUUUGAAACUGGCAAACUGGAGUGUGUGAGAGGAUAGUGGAAUUCCAGGUGUAGGAGUGAAAGCCGUAGAUAUCGGGAGGAACAUCAGUGGCGAAGGCGACUAUCUGGCACAUAACUGACGCUGAGGAGCGAAAGCGUGGGUAGCAAACAGGAUUAGAUACCCUUGUAGUC
This 465-nucleotide ribosomal RNA is filed under the name uncultured bacterium. Its description in RNAcentral is "partial 16S ribosomal RNA". It matches the Rfam family "Bacterial small subunit ribosomal RNA", at positions 338 to 795 of the family's 1533-position model. The record is from RNAcentral.